This is a long non-coding RNA of Bolinopsis microptera, 1009 nucleotides long. RefSeq lists it as uncharacterized. The record is from RefSeq and is a predicted model, not a curated record. Lineage: Eukaryota; Metazoa; Ctenophora; Tentaculata; Lobata; Bolinopsidae. The transcript has 13 exons.
UAUAAAAACAUUAUGUCAGAAAUAGAAUGAUAGAAUGGCAGCAGUAGAAAUCAUGAAUGUUGUCCCGUCGGCAAUACUCGAACAAGAGCUAUCAUUGGAAGAUAGUUCUGUCGCAGAACAAAAAGAAUUCGGAGAGGGAGAGUAUGUUGACAUAUCCUUAAGUUUUUAGAAGAUAGUUCUGUCGCAGAACAACUCACAAAUAAUUCGGAGGGGAGAGUAUGUUGGCAUAUCCUUCAGUUUUUAGAAGAUAGUUCUGCUGUCACAGAACAACACGCAAAUAAUUCGGAGGGGACGAGUAUGAUGGCAUAUCCUCAAGUUUUUAGAAGAUAGAUCUGUCACAGAAUAACACACAAAUAAUUCGGAGGGGACGAGUAUGAUGGCAUAUCCUCAAGUUUUUAGAAGAUAGAUCUGUCGCAGAACAACACACGGACAAUUCGGAGAGGAAGAGUAUGUUGGCAUAUCAUUCAGUUUUUAGAAGAUAGAUCUGUCGCAGAACAGAAAGAAUUUGGAGAGGGAGAGUAUGUUGACAUAUCCUUAAGUUUUUAGAAGAUAGUUCUGUCACAGAAUAACACACAAAUAAUUCGGAGAGGAAGAGUAUGUUGGCAUAUAAUCCUUAAGUUUUUAGAAGAUAGAUCUGUCACAGAAUAACACACAAAUAAUUCGGAGGGGACGAGUAUGAUGGCAUAUCCUCAAGUUUUUAGAAGAUAGUUCUGUCACAGAAUAACACACAAAUAAUUCGGGUGGGACGAGUAUGAUGGCAUAUCCUCAAGUUUUUAGAAGAUAGUUCUGCUGUCACAGAACAACACACAAAUAAUUCGGAGGGGACGAGUAUGAUGGCAUAUCCUCAAGUUUUUAGAAGAUAGAUCUGUCGCAGAACAGAAAGAAUUUGGAGAGGGAGAGUAUGUUGACAUAUCCUUAAGUUUUUAGAAGAUAGUUCUGUCACAGAAUAACACACAAAUAAUUCGGAGAGGAAGAGUAUGUUGGCAUAUAAUCCUUAAGUUUUUAGAAG